Molecule: long non-coding RNA, 1996 nt
Filed under: Theobroma cacao (cacao)
Lineage: Eukaryota; Viridiplantae; Streptophyta; Magnoliopsida; Malvales; Malvaceae
Description: long non-coding RNA (TCAC_LNC002451)
Source: RNAcentral
ACACACCAUGUUUUUGGCGGGUUUCGGUAUUUUCGAAGAAAAAUGAUGAAAAUGCCCUUGUGAGCCAAAAAAUAAUAUUUUAUUGUUUUGAUUUGGAAACGACUAUUGAUUUUUUCAAAUGCGAGAUUUGAUAACUAUUGCUCACCGGGGAAUUGCGAAAGCUGAUACGAGAGCCUUGCGAGGUUUCGAUCGGUAUUCGGAGUGAAGAAUGUUUGUCGAGGCUUCGCAACGGUUGUCAAGGGCUUGAUGAGAGUCCUGGGUCGUGACACUUAUGAUUUCCUGAAAAGUUUGUCUCGUGCCAAAAUCAUUCUCAUACUCAGUUAUCAGGGAUACCUUGAUCGAGGGCUAUUCCAACUAAGUUCGCCAAGGCUGUUAAAAAGUCAUGUAUGCAUAAAUCAUGUUUUUAUUUUGAAAACAUAGCCAUUCUUUGGCGUUGGCUAAGUUCACCCUCACGUGGUGGUUUGGCAUGAAGUGAAUUCUAAAGUGUUAACCUCAGGAGUUAUCAAUCUGCGCCUCUCAAACUGCGAUAUGAAUAUAAAAGGGUUACCGUACCCCUUCUAAUAAGCUGGUCCACAGAACCCGUCCACUGCAGCAACUAAUCAAUAACCCACCAAUUCAAUAAAAUUUAACAGCAUGACAUGGUAAUUUUAUCAUUAUCCAGCCUAUCAAGGCAAACAACAGUUUAUACAUUUUCAACACAAAUACCAAUUCAGCCAUUCAUGCUAAUAUUGCCAUAAGCCAAUCAAUUAGAACCAUAAAUUCACAAUACAUCUAAUGGUCUCCAAUUACUCUAUUUUCAAAGCCAUCAUUCAAUUUCAACACAAUUUAUAAAAUCAUUUCAUUAAAUCACAUUUUAAUUACAAAACACAAAGAUUUACCAUUUAACUCAUUUUCCAUAAAAUCACAAAAUCAAACAAAAACCACUUUAGAUAAUUAAGAUGAUAGUAAGGUUACUCACUAUUUCAGGAGUCGAAUUCUAAGUACUCCGAUUCUUGAUCCUCGGGUACUAUCUCUUUACUUUGGCCAGAAUGCUCACCACCUAGACAUAAUGCACAAUAAGCCAUUUACUACAUUUGUGCUAAAUUGUUAUAAAACCAAUUCAGGCUUUAUACUAAUGCAUGAAACGGGAUGUAAAUUGUUCGGAUUAUCGUCUAAACACGGUGUUCUACACAAAUUCAAUUGUGUACCUAAAUAAAAUGGUAUUGGCCUAAUUCGAUCUAUCACCCGAAUAAUUGGCCAAUACGUCCAAUUCAACUCCAAAUAAUUCCAUUUCUCUCCCAAUACUCCAAAUCAUCAAACACAAUUUUGAAAUAUGGCAAAAUCAUCCUCACAUUUUCUCUUGGAAAAUUCGACCAUGGUGGGUGUAUCAACACUAUAAUUUUUCAAGCCUGAUUCUCAGACCAUAAAUCACUAAUUCCUAACUAAAUCACUUGAAAUAAAAUCAAAAUCAUCAUCAAUACUCUGCAAGGAAGAUUCUGCCAAUGGAGGUUCUUGAGGGGUAAACGGUUUUUUAUGCUAAACAUUACCAUUUUCGGUUUCCACCGUUACAAUUCAUUAAAUUUUAACUAAAUAACAUAAGACAUCACAAGAUUCAUUUUCAAUAUUAUCUUUAUGAAAUUCAGCCAAUGAAGAAUCCAUGAAGAACAUGUGAUUUUUCUUACUUGUUUUUCUUCCAAACAUGAUAAAUCAACUAUAAACACUAAAAUAUCUCAAAAUCUAACCAAAUAAAUCAUCAAAUCUUCUCUCUUUAAAUUCGGUUAGCCGUGAAUCCUUCAUGAUAUGUUGUGAUUCAACCAUGGAAAAUGCAAAAGAAUGCAUGGGAAAGGUAGAUCACAAGUCAAAAUCAAGAAAUUUUACCUUUGCUUGCUUGAUUACUUGAAAUCCACCAAUUUUCUCUUGAAUUUUCACCUUAGGGUUCUUGUUCUUUCUUUUCUUCCUUUGUUCUUGCUUUGGCCGACCAUAUGAAGAGAAAUGGGCUGAUUUUGUGCUGAUUUUU